Molecule: ribosomal RNA, 654 nt
Filed under: uncultured archaeon
Lineage: Archaea
Description: bacterial SSU rRNA
Rfam family: Archaeal small subunit ribosomal RNA
Source: RNAcentral
GCCUAAAGCGUCCGUAGCCGGCUUUGUAAGUUUUCGGUUAAAUCUAUAUGCUCAACAUAUAGGCUGCCGGGAAUACUGCAAAGCUAGGGAGUGGGAGAGGUAGACGUUACUCCGUAGGAAGGGGUAAAAUCCUUUGAUCUAUGGAUGACCACCUGUGGCGAAGGCGGUCUACCAGAACACGUUCGACGGUGAGGGAUGAAAGCUGGGGGAGCAAACCGGAUUAGAUACCCGGGUAGUCCCAGCUGUAAACUAUGCAAACUCAGUGAUGCAUUGGCUUGUGGCCAGUGCAGUGCCGCAGGGAAGCCGUUAAGUUUGCCGCCUGGGAAGUACGUACGCAAGUAUGAAACUUAAAGGAAUUGGCGGGGGAGCACCACAAGGGGUGAAGCCUGCGGUUCAAUUGGAGUCAACGCCAGAAAUCUUACCCGGAGAGACAGCAGGAUGAAGGUCAAGCUGAAGACUUUACCAGACAAGCUGAGAAGUGGUGCAUGGCCGUCGCCAGCUCGUGCCGUGAGGUGUCCUGUUAAGUCAGGUAACGAGCGAGAUCCUUGCCUCUAGUUGCCACCAUUACUCUCAGGAGUAGUGGGGCGAAUUAGCGGGACUGCCGUAGUUAAUACGGAGGAAGGAGAGGGCCACGGCAGGUCAGUAUGCCCCGAA